GACGAACGCUGGCGGCGUGCUUAACACAUGCAAGUCGAACGGAAAGGCCCGGCUUUUGUGGGUGUCUCGAUUGCCGAACGGGUGAGAAUAACUUGAGUAACCUCCCCUUACCUUUGGGAUAACUCCAGGAAACUGGGGCUAUUACCGCAUAGAAUCUCCUGCUCCAUGUUGGUGGUUGGAAAGUUACGGCGGUGGGGGAUUGACUGGCGGCUUACCGGCUUGUUGGGGGGGUAGUGGCUUACAAAGGCUUUGACGGGUAGCCGGCCUGGGAGGGUGACCGGCCACAUUGGGACUGAGAUACGGCCCAGACUCCUACGGGAGGCAGCAGUGGGGAAUAUUGCACAAUGGGCGGAAGCCUGAUGCAGCAACGCCGCGUGCGGGAUGAUGGGUUUCGGGUUGUAAACCGCUUUCGCCUGUGCCGAAGCGUGAGUGACGGUAAUGGGUAAAGAAGCAACGGCUAACUACGUG
Molecule: ribosomal RNA, 468 nt
Filed under: uncultured bacterium
Lineage: Bacteria
Description: partial 16S ribosomal RNA
Rfam family: Bacterial small subunit ribosomal RNA
Source: RNAcentral